GCCUUAGUAGCGGCGAGUGAACAGGCAAAAGCUCAGAUUUGAAAGCCUCUCGGGGCAUUGUAUUCUGAAGCCUUGAUCUUGGGAAACCGGUGCCUAAGUCUUCUGGAAAGGAGCGCCAUGGAGGGUGACAGCCCCGUCCGGCACUGACCCCACUGUAAGAUCUUGGCAUGGAGUCGAGUUGUUUGGGAAUGCAGCUCAAAUGGGUGGUAUGCUCCAUCUAAAGCUAAAUAUCUGCGAGAGACCGAUAGCGAACAAGUACUGUGAAGGAAAGAUGAAAAGAACUUUGAAAAGAGAGUGAAAAAGUACGUGAAAUUGUUGAAAUGGAAGGGUAGGCCGCUAACCACGUAGAGUCGUGUCUGGGGGGAAGACAAAAGCCGUUGAAUGUAGCUCCUUUUGGAGUGUUAUAGCUUCGGUCAAUAUUCCCAUCCGGGCGCGAGGAUCUAAGACUCUGCUAAAUGGUGGUCUACCACCCGUCUUGAA
This 480-nucleotide ribosomal RNA is filed under the name Starmerella jinningensis. RNAcentral describes it as "eukaryotic LSU rRNA". It matches the Rfam family "Eukaryotic large subunit ribosomal RNA", at positions 77 to 658 of the family's 3401-position model. Lineage: Eukaryota; Fungi; Ascomycota; Dipodascomycetes; Dipodascales; Trichomonascaceae. The record is from RNAcentral.